Molecule: microRNA precursor, 61 nt
Filed under: Pristionchus pacificus
Lineage: Eukaryota; Metazoa; Nematoda; Chromadorea; Rhabditida; Neodiplogasteridae
Description: mir-8364 microRNA precursor family
Rfam family: mir-8364 microRNA precursor family
Source: Rfam by way of RNAcentral
UCUUCAUUUCGUAUACUCUCUCACCGGUCAGUGAGACGAGAGAGUAGGCGAAAUGAAGAGA